AUACGAAGGUCCCAAGCGUUAUUCGGAAUCACUGGGCGUAAAGAGUACGUAGGCGGUUUGGUAAGUCAGGUGUGAAAUCCCGAAGCUCAACUUCGGAACUGCAUCCGAUACUGCCAGACUUGAGUAAUGGAGAGGCAGGUGGAAUUCUCGGUGUAGCAGUGAAAUGCGUGGAUAUCGAGAGGAAGACCAAUGGCGAAGGCAGCCUGCUGGACAUUGACUGACGCUGAGGUACGAAGGCUAGGGGCGCGAAAGGGAUUAGAAACCCUUGUAGUCC
RNAcentral lists this ribosomal RNA (274 nucleotides) under uncultured bacterium. RNAcentral's name for it is "partial 16S ribosomal RNA". It matches the Rfam family "Bacterial small subunit ribosomal RNA", at positions 523 to 796 of the family's 1533-position model. The record is from RNAcentral.